RNAcentral lists this ribosomal RNA (391 nucleotides) under uncultured bacterium. RNAcentral's name for it is "bacterial SSU rRNA". It matches the Rfam family "Bacterial small subunit ribosomal RNA", at positions 29 to 416 of the family's 1533-position model. The record is from RNAcentral.
AUUGAACGCUGGCGGCAUGCCUAACACAUGCAAGUCGAACGGCAGCACGGCAGUAGCAAUACUGUGGGUGGCGAGUGGCGGACGGGUGAGGAAUACGUCGGAAUCUGCCCAGUCGUGGGGGAUAACUAGCCGAAAGGUUAGCUAAUACCGCAUACGACCGAGAGGUGAAAGCGGGGGACCGCAAGGCCUCGCGCGAUUGGAUGAGCCGACGUCGGAUUAGCUAGUUGGUGGGUAAAGGCCCACCAAGGCGACGAUCCGUAGCUGGUCUGAGAGGAUGAUCAGCCACACUGGAACUGAGACACGGUCCAGACUCCUACGGGAGGCAGCAGUGGGGAAUAUUGGACAAUGGGCGCAAGCCUGAUCCAGCAAUGCCGCGUGUGUGAAGAAGGCC